GAUGAACGCUGGCGGCGUGCUUAACACAUGCAAGUCGAACGAAGCAUUUAAGACAGAUUUUUUCGGAAUGAAGUUUUUUAUGACUGAGUGGCGGACGGGUGAGUAACGCGUGGGUAACCUGCCUCACACAGGGGGAUAGCAGUUGGAAACGACUGGUAAUACCGCGUAAGCGCACAGCUUCGCAUGAAGCGGUGUGAAAAACUCCGGUGGUGUGAGAUGGACCCGCGUCUGAUUAGGUAGUUGGUGAGGUAACGGCCCACCAAGCCGACGAUCAGUAGCCGACCUGAGAGGGUGACCGGCCACAUUGGGACUGAGACACGGCCCAGACUCCUACGGGAGGCAGCAGUGGGGAAUAUUGCACAAUGGAGGAAACUCUGAUGCAGCGACGCCGCGUGAGUGAAGAAGUAUUUCGGUAUGUGAAGCUCUAUCAGCAGGGAAGACAGUGACGGUACCUGACUAAGAAGCUCCGGCUAAAUACGUGCCAGCCGCCGCAGUAA
This 497-nucleotide ribosomal RNA is filed under the name uncultured bacterium. RNAcentral's name for it is "partial 16S ribosomal RNA". It matches the Rfam family "Bacterial small subunit ribosomal RNA", at positions 28 to 523 of the family's 1533-position model. The record is from RNAcentral.